AUUGGUCAGUCCCAGAGGAACGUCAUGGCACUAUUAUUAUUAUGUGAUACGUUAGGGAGCAUUUUUAUCUUCAAGUCGAUACUGAGAUACCGCAUUUGUUGGCCUUUCCUGGGAAUGGAUUCUAAUUGCUGAGAAGCUUCAACACGAGUACUACUCGAAAGUGUAGUCUGGACAGUCGAGAAAACAAAAGCCACGACCGCAUCGUCAAAAUAUUAGACUACCUGCAUUCACUUAAUUAAGAGAAGAAAUGAUUUGCAAUUGGUGUCUGUGACCUACGGU
This is a long non-coding RNA of Anneissia japonica, 279 nucleotides long. RefSeq lists it as uncharacterized. NCBI's taxonomy places the organism in Eukaryota, Metazoa, Echinodermata, Crinoidea, Comatulida, Comatulidae. The transcript has 3 exons. The record is from RefSeq and is a predicted model, not a curated record.